Molecule: ribosomal RNA, 240 nt
Filed under: uncultured soil bacterium
Lineage: Bacteria
Description: partial 16S ribosomal RNA
Rfam family: Bacterial small subunit ribosomal RNA
Source: RNAcentral
AGAGUGAACGCUGGCGGCAGGCCUAACACAUGCAAGUCGAACGGCAGCACAGGGGAGCUUGCUCCCUGGGUGGCGAGUGGCGGACGGGUGAGGAAUGCGUCGGAAUCUGCCUUUUCGUGGGGGAUAACGUAGGGAAACUUACGCUAAUACCGCAUGCGACCCUGUUCCGGGAGGUUCAGGGUGAAAGCGGGGGACCUUCGGGCCUCGGCGCGGAAAGAUGAGCCGACGCCGGAUUAGCUA